CAUGCCGUAAACGUUGGGAACUAGAUGUGGGGACCAUUCCACGGUCUCCGUGUCGCAGCUAACGCAUUAAGUUCCCCGCCUGGGGAGUACGGCCGCAAGGCUAAAACUCAAAGGAAUUGA
This 120-nucleotide ribosomal RNA is filed under the name uncultured bacterium. RNAcentral's name for it is "partial 16S ribosomal RNA". It matches the Rfam family "Bacterial small subunit ribosomal RNA", at positions 796 to 913 of the family's 1533-position model. The record is from RNAcentral.